AAAGUAAUAGUCCGGCGUUAAAGGCUGUCCUGUGUUUGUAUUUAAAACAACAGACCCACAACCAAAAACACAAAAACCUCCAGUUACAUUUAAUGCUGUGGAACAUAAAGACAGCAUACAACUAUAGAAGCAAACUUCAGGUGCCAGUCGUUCUGGAUGAUCGGCUACAUUUGGGGAAAACCUUUUAUUUUCCACACUUCCAUAUUUUAUUUCGCAUACAGGAAGUGUGCUUGCUUUUGAUCAUUUAAGUUCAAUUAAUGCUGAACCAAGGAUGAAGUCAUGAAGCAACGGAAACCUUAUAACAGGUGGAAAGUAAAGUGGAAGAGGCCGGUUCUUGGUUAUGAAGCAGUGAGAGAAGCUGACCUGUGUGACCAUGCUGGAGACGUCUCCCGUGUUGGACGGCAGGAUGACGG
Molecule: long non-coding RNA, 413 nt
Organism: Pangasianodon hypophthalmus (striped catfish)
Lineage: Eukaryota; Metazoa; Chordata; Actinopteri; Siluriformes; Pangasiidae
Exons: 3
Source: RefSeq, a predicted model, not a curated record